CCCUUAGAUGUUCUGGGCCGCACGCGCGCUACACUGAUGUAUUCAACGAGUCUAAAACCUGCUCUGAUAGGGGUGGGUAAUCUUUUGAAUGUGCAUCGUGAUUGGGAUAGAUGAUUGCAAUUUUUCAUCUUCAACGAGGAAUGCCUAGUAAACGCAAGUCAUCAGCUUGCAUUGAUUACGUUCCUGCCCUUUGUACACACCGCCCGUCGCUCCUACCGAUUGAAUGAUCCGAUGAAUAUCAUGGAUUGAGGAUGCAAGUAGGUUAGCCUAUCUUCAUCUUCGAGAAGUGAAGUAAAUCUUAUCAUUUAGAGGAAGGAGAAGUCGUAACA
Molecule: ribosomal RNA, 329 nt
Filed under: uncultured eukaryote
Lineage: Eukaryota
Description: partial 18S ribosomal RNA
Rfam family: Eukaryotic small subunit ribosomal RNA
Source: RNAcentral